GUUGAGCGCUCACGCUUAUCGGCUGUGAAUUAAGACAGACUCAGGGGUCUGUAGCUCAGUUGGUUAGAGCACCGUCUUGAUAAGGCGGGGGUCGAUGGUUCGAAUCCAUCCAGACCCACCACUGUUUCUGCGGUGGCUGCGCUGAUCACUGAACCCCUGAGGGAUCUAUACGGAUAGCACUAUCUGUGUAUGACUGGGGGAUUAGCUCAGCUGGGAGAGCACCUGCUUUGCAAGCAGGGGGUCGUCGGUUCGAUCCCGUCAUCCUCCACCAAUCUUCAAUGCGCAGCGUUCUGCAACAGGGCAGAGUGUUUUGCAUUGGCGAUUGAGCCAGUCAGAGUGAUACGCGGUUAUAGCAACUGCGAUAUCGGCUGUCGUUCUUUAACAAUCAGGAAGAAGUAGUAAAGAGAUUCACGAAAGCGUGUCUAGAGAUGGGCAUGUGAGUAGGUGAAUCAGGGUUGUGAUUGUAUCAAUGUAUGAAAAGGUAAUCGAAAGAUUGCCUUGGAAUACGGCGCAACACGAAUACUCAACCUGUAGCGAAGUGGGUUUCGAAAGAGACACACCCGUUAUAGGGUCAAGCGAACAAGUGCAUGUGGUGGAUGCCUUGGCGAUCACAGGCGAUGAAGGACGCGGUAGCCUGCGAAAAGCUACGGGGAGCUGGCAAACGAGCUUUGAUCCGUAGAUGUCCGAAUGGGGAAAACCCCGGA
RNAcentral lists this unclassified non-coding RNA (704 nucleotides) under Paraburkholderia sp. RNAcentral's name for it is "partial contains 16S-23S ribosomal RNA intergenic spacer and 23S ribosomal RNA". The stretch from base 570 to 704 matches the Rfam family "Bacterial large subunit ribosomal RNA", at positions 1 to 133 of the family's 2925-position model. The record is from RNAcentral. Lineage: Bacteria; Pseudomonadati; Pseudomonadota; Betaproteobacteria; Burkholderiales; Burkholderiaceae.